This 254-nucleotide ribosomal RNA is filed under the name uncultured bacterium. RNAcentral describes it as "partial 16S ribosomal RNA". It matches the Rfam family "Bacterial small subunit ribosomal RNA", at positions 524 to 776 of the family's 1533-position model. The record is from RNAcentral.
UACGGAGGGGGCAAGCGUUGUUCGGAAUUACUGGGCGUAAAGGGCGCGCAGGCGGCUGCUCAAGUCAGGCGUGAAAGGCCUGGGCUCAACCCGGGAAUUGCGCUUGAGACUGGGCUGGCUUGAGUGCGGGAGAGGAUGGUGGAAUUCCCAGUGUAGAGGUGAAAUUCGUAGAUAUUGUGAGGAACACUAGUGGCGAAGGCGAGACUCUGGACAGUUCCUGACGCUGAGGCACGAAGGCCAGGGGAGCAAACGGG